Molecule: ribosomal RNA, 1299 nt
Filed under: Triticum aestivum (bread wheat)
Lineage: Eukaryota; Viridiplantae; Streptophyta; Magnoliopsida; Poales; Poaceae
Description: partial small subunit ribosomal RNA
Source: RNAcentral
UUCCCCCCACCCCCUCAUGUCGCGACCCCGGCUGGCCAACGACCUCUGCGCGCCGCGGAUCCCCCGGUGGCCCCUCUUCUUCUCAAAUCUCGCCCCCACCCACCACAAACUGCGACCGGCCACCAUCGCCCCAUCACAUCCCGCUCCGCCGCCCGCCAAACGUCCCACCCCGCCGUGGUGCACCGUCCCACCGCACCUCGCCCCGCCGCAGCCCGCUGUCCCAGCAUCGCUGCACCCCUGCUCCGACCACCUUCCCCGCGAGUGCCGCCCCAGCCACCCCCACUUCCAACGCGCACUACACCGGCUCGAUCCGGCCGGCAACCACGCUGUAUCUCCCCGACGAGCAACUCCCACAUCCACAUCGCCGCGCUGCCAUGGGGAUUGGAGGUAUUGGAUGGUGCUCAGGUGGCAGAUCCCGUAGGUUCGCCUCCUCUCUUCGCGGAGCUCGAGCGCAACAGGGCCGACAGUGGCUACCUUCUGCCCUCCUGCCCAUCUUGCUUGGGAUCCCAUGCGAGGAAGGUCAACGGCAGGUCGCUAGUCUCCUUCCCCUCCUACAGGUCGCCGCCGUAGCCCAUGCCUCCCGCGGUGGACGGGGUCGGUGCUGGUCCUGGCAUCGUUGCCUGAGGUCGUGGUCGCUCUGUCGUGGCAGCCGUCUUGCGGCUCGGUGCAGAAUUUCAUCUUGCAGUCCACAUGGAGGACACACGCGGGGCAAUCGCUAACUUUCUGCAUCUCACUAUUUUUUUCCUUCAAUUAUUUGUGUAUGAAAAUGGACCAAUUUGAUAGUUUUUUAGUUUCUGUGUUUUAGUUUUUGCCAUGCGUUGCAGCUCGAUUGUGCGCGUGCAGUCCACCCAUCUCCUCCACGGCAUCCCUAGCGGCGUGGGCCUCAUAGUCCACAUCGACAGCAGAUGAAGCUCCAGCCAGCGGGUUUUUCAGAUUUUUUACCAUGGCCGGCGAGAGAACCGUGCGGCUCGAUGUUCCCAUUGGUUGCCCUGCAGUUCCUUCGGCACUGACGGGCGCCAAUAAUGUGUGUUUUCAGUAUAUUUGCAUUGUUCAUGCACUGCACAUGUGCACCUUCUGUAGUGUGCUAGACUCGUUCGUGCAGUGUAGAACGGGCACCUAUUAAAAAUUACGGGGAAACAUAUGCAUACAACUACUCGUCCAGUGUAGAACACAUGAAUGGAAAAAAGAAAACAAAAACUUCCCAGCAGUGCAGACACUCUCUAAUUUUUCUGUAAAAUCUUUCUUUGUAAAAGAAGUGCGCUCGGUGAACCGAAGAAGUACAAUUUUUCAAAAUAUUGA